RNAcentral lists this non-coding RNA (531 nucleotides) under Microbacterium sp. SUBG005. Its description in RNAcentral is "bacterial LSU rRNA". It matches the Rfam family "Bacterial large subunit ribosomal RNA", at positions 2309 to 2843 of the family's 2925-position model. Lineage: Bacteria; Bacillati; Actinomycetota; Actinomycetes; Micrococcales; Microbacteriaceae. The record is from RNAcentral.
CCCAAAGGUUCCCUCAACCUGGUUGGCAAUCAGGUGGCGAGUGUAAGUGCACAAGGGAGCUUGACUGUGAGACUGACAGGUCGAGCAGGGACGAAAGUCGGGACUAGUGAUCCGGCAGUGGCUUGUGGAAGCGCUGUCGCUCAACGGAUAAAAGGUACCUCGGGGAUAACAGGCUGAUCUUGCCCAAGAGUCCAUAUCGACGGCAUGGUUUGGCACCUCGAUGUCGGCUCGUCGCAUCCUGGGGCUGGAGUAGGUCCCAAGGGUUGGGCUGUUCGCCCAUUAAAGCGGUACGCGAGCUGGGUUUAGAACGUCGUGAGACAGUUCGGUCCCUAUCUGCGCGCGUAGGAAGUUUGAGAGGAUCUGACCCUAGUACGAGAGGACCGGGUUGGACGAACCUCUGGUGUGUCAGUUGUUCCGCCAGGAGCACCGCUGAUUAGCUACGUUCGGGAUGGAUAACCGCUGAAAGCAUCUAAGCGGGAAGCCGGCCUCAAGAUGAGACUUCCAUACCUCGGGGUGAGAGGCUCCCAGCCA